AGGCGGGGGUGCACGAGAGUCACACCUGACGUAGGAAGCCUUUCCGUUCCGGCUGCACCUGAAGCGCUCGCGCGCGCGUGAGUCCGCGCAGCUGUGCAGAAGAGCUCGCGCGUGCGGCGGUUAGUGGCGGCGGCUCAGCUACCUCGCCGUUGUUUAGAGACCCCGUCUCAGCGGCCCCCGAGAAGACUUUGUAUUCUGGAGAAGAACAGGACACCGUUCUGGAGAGCCGGCCUGUCGGAAAUAACUGCGCCGUUGACUGAAUGGGGUGCUGCGGCGAGAGGCCGUUCUAGAGAAGUUGGUGUUUCAAGAAAGCGCCAUAAAGAACGUUUGCUGUUCAGUCUCGACUCUGAAACGAGUAAAAACUUGCCCUGAAAAGUCCGAAACGAUUUUUAGUUUCCUGCUUUAAAAGACAGCGAACCGGCCUUGGGUGGUUGGUUCCUUCUCGCGCGAUUGAAUUAGAGGGCAGAGGUCCUCCCCGUGGCAGCCCCAGGCUGAGAAGAAACAGUGAAGCAAUUUUAGACGCUGCUGUCCACAGGGACUUAGCCAUGGGAUUGGCGACUUGUUUUCGGGAAGUCAGCAGAUUUGCUGACUUGGCUCCGUAGAUGACACAGACUUUGUCCCCAUGGGCCGGGGCACCCGAGGUCAGUGCUGUCCCAGCUGUCCCAUCAGCUUCUCCUUCGGCGGGUCACUGCAGGCCACAGAUGUCCUGCUUGUCUCCUGCGUGUGGAGGGAGCGGGAGGGCCAAGGGGAGGAAGCAGAAGCUUCUCUGGGCAGCCUGACCCCUGCAUGUGGACCUGGUCUUGUUUGAUGUGUGGCUUCUGGCGUCUGUGGCCGGCCAGGCCUCGCCCUGCAGCCUGGGGAGCCUGCGGACUGUGAGUCCUGGGCGGGGGUUUAUUCUGUCCAUCCUGGGGGGUCUGGAGUGAAGGCGUGGGCGGCUGCAGGCUUUGGGGGACAUCUGCUCCGUGUGUCUGUCCCAGCUGCUGGAGACCCCUGGGCUGGCAGCCGGGGCCCUCCAGGCCCCGCCUCGUGUUCCCUCUGCAGGUGUCAGCCUCUGUGCCUCCGCUUGUCCCCCCGCAGGCGUGGAUGGCCGUGGGAAGGACCCUGCCACAGCCCGGCGCUCUGAUACCUGCUUCCUCUCGGGCCCGUCCACCUGCUCCAGUGCCGAGGGCCUGUGGGCAUCUGGGGGCCACCACUCCGCCCCCUUCGGAUGACAGGGCCUCCUUUUAUAGGACAGAAAGCAAGAAUGCAAGAUAGAAGGAAGAGAGAACUUCCUACCCCAGCAAAUGCCCCCCGUACGUCCCCGUUCCGCCCCGGCCCCUGUGCUGGGGCACAUCAUUUAGGUCUUGCAUCUGGAAAUCCUAGCUUUCCUGUGUUUCUUGUUCAGCUGUUGAAGCCCUGGCAGGGAGGCUCAUGUGUUUUGUGGGAAGGGUCUGCCCCGUGGGGUCUGCAUGUGGGAAGACAGCCGGUCGGCUCCGGGAGCAGGGCAGACGGUCUUGCCUCAGUCCUCAGCGAUGUGUACAGCUGCUAGAAGCCUGUCCCUGCACUUGCCCUCCUUCCUGUGGGCGAGCGGCGAGCGUGGCCAGGACCACGGUCUCCUGCUGCCUGUGGGGCCCAGCGGGUCUGGGGGUGGGACCCAGCUGUGGGCCACCGCGGACCGCCUGCCCAGAAGGUGAGCUGCUCACGGCUGCCAGGCCACCAUGCGGGGGCACUCUCCAUUCCAGGGGGGAUCGGGGCCUCCCUGGAGACAGUCUGGAGCUGGGAGAGCGGGAGGGGACACGGGCCACUGAGACCGCGCACCCUCUGGGGAGCCCUGGCUUUCAACAGCCUCGUUCCUGAGGGAACGGGUGUGAUCGUUCCAGAGAAACGGGUGUGAUCCUCCGGCUUCCCCAGAGGCACAGAACCAGUAGGACGUGGAAGUAAAUGUAAUUAUAAAAAUGGAAACAUAAAUUUAUAUAUAUAUUUAACAUUUAAUUAUAUUAACACAUAACAUAAAACAUUUUUGUAUUUACAUGUAUAUGUAUUGCACAUAAUUGAUAUAUUAAAUAUAUAUUAUGUAAAUGCAAAAUUUGUAUAUAAUUAUAAUAUGUAUACGUUCAUGAGUUUAUAAAUAAAUACACAAUAAAGAAGGAAGGAGUAAGGGAGAGAGGGAGGGAGCCGGCGGCGGGGGUGGAACUCUCUAGUCUGAAAUCUGCGGGGCAUGCUGGCAGGCGGGAGACCGGGGAAGAGCUGCUGUGGCAGUCUGGAGUUCCGGAUCUGUGAGGCAGCUGGCUGAGAGGCUCUGUCACUCAGGCUGCGGUGUGGAGGCAGAAAUCCUUUCCAGGAAAUCCCAGGCUCUGAUGGCCUUCAACUGAUUAGACAAGGCCCACCCGCAUCGUGGAAGACCAUCUACAUGCUCAGAGUCAGCUGACUGCAGGUCUCUAACCUUCAUGGUCACAUCUGCACUAAUGCUGGAGACCAGACGGGCACUGCCGCCUUGUGGUUAGCUGACACACAGGUGUGUGGUGUGUGGGGGCUCCCUGUGUGCGGCCUGGGACCCCUGGGGGAUGGUGGAUCCUUGUUGGAAGCAUCCUUGCCUCUGCUCUGUGCGCACACUGGGAGACAGCACACCGGCUGCACCCCGUGCUGGCCCCGGACGGCCAGGCCUUUCAUCACCCCGGGGGCACAGGUGCGGCUUUUCUCUUAAUGCCCGAAGGGGCUUCAAGCAUCUGUGAACCUUGCUGGGGGUGGCCGUGUCCCCAGGCCUUUCUCCAGCCGUGCUUAUCGUCUGUUCCGAAGCACAGCCAGGUGGGAACGUUGCAGAUUCCGCCCGUGGCGGUGGACUCGAGCCAGAACACAGCCGGGAUGUUCGAGCUGCAGUAAUCUCACAGGUCGUGUGUAUAGUCCCACAGUGGGACUUGAGGGCAUAAAAGAGGGAUUCUAU
This is a long non-coding RNA of Mustela lutreola (European mink), 2920 nucleotides long. RefSeq lists it as uncharacterized. Lineage: Eukaryota; Metazoa; Chordata; Mammalia; Carnivora; Mustelidae. The record is from RefSeq and is a predicted model, not a curated record. The transcript has 3 exons.